RNAcentral lists this ribosomal RNA (1090 nucleotides) under Candidatus Macropleicola donaciinarum. RNAcentral describes it as "bacterial SSU rRNA". It matches the Rfam family "Bacterial small subunit ribosomal RNA", at positions 379 to 1459 of the family's 1533-position model. Lineage: Bacteria; Pseudomonadati; Pseudomonadota; Gammaproteobacteria; Enterobacterales; Enterobacteriaceae. The record is from RNAcentral.
AAGCCUGAUGCAGCUAUGCCGCGUGUAUGAAGAAGGCCUUAGGGUUGUAAAGUACUUUCAAUAAGGAAGAAGCAAUAAAAUCUAAUAUAUUUUAUUGUUGACGUUACUUAUAAAAGAAGCACCGGCUAACUCCGUGCCAGCAGCCGCGGUAAUACGGAGGGUGCUAGCGUUAAUCGGAAUUACUGGGCGUAAAGAGCACGUAGGCGGUUUAUUAAGUCAGAUGUGAAAUCCCUAAGCUUAACUUAGGAACUGCAUUUGAAACUAAUUUACUUGAGUAUCAUAGAGGGGAGUAGAAUUCCAGGUGUAGCGGUGAAAUGCGUAGAUAUCUGGAGGAAUACCAGUGGCGAAGGCGACUCCCUGGAUGAAUACUGACGCUCAGGUGCGAAAGCAUGGGGAGCAAACAGGAUUAGAUACCCUGGUAGUCCAUUGCUGUAAACGAUGUCGACUUGGAGGUUGUGAGCUUGUCUUGUAGCUUCCGUAGCUAACGCGUUAAGUCGACCGCCUGGGGAGUACGACCGCAAGGUUAAAACUCAAAUGAAUUGACGGGGGCCCGCACAAGCGGUGGAGCAUGUGGUUUAAUUCGAUGCAACGCGAAGAACCUUACCUGGUCUUGACAUCCAUGGAAUUUAAUAGAGAUAUUUUAGUGCCUUCGGGAACCAUGAGACAGGUGCUGCAUGGCUGUCGUCAGCUCGUGUUGUGAAAUGUUGGGUUAAGUCCCGCAACGAGCGCAACCCUUGUCCUUUGUUGCCAACGGUUUGGCCGGGAACUCAAAGGAGACUGCUGGUGAUAAGCCGGAGGAAGGUGGGGAUGACGUCAAGUCAUCAUGGCCCUUACGACCAGGGCUACACACGUGCUACAAUGGUAUAUACAAAGGGCAGCAUCCUCGCAAGAGUAAGCGAAUCUCAUAAAAUAUAUCUUAGUUCGGAUUGGAGUCUGCAACUCGACUCUAUGAAGUCGGAAUCGCUAGUAAUCGUAGAUCAGAAUGCUACGGUGAAUACGUUCCCGGGCCUUGUACACACCGCCCGUCACACCAUGGAAGUGAGUUGUAAAAGAAGUAAGUUGUUUAACCAUAAAAGGAGAACGCUUACCA